ACUGAUGAUCACUGUCGGGUAAGCUAGACUUUCUUAUGGUUUACUGAUGACUCCAUUUUAUGUCAUUUAAUUAAAAUUUAAAGCAAAGGGACACCUGGUCAAGUAUGAUGAGAAAGCCUUACUCAACCAAUCAACAAGGAAUAGGUGACCCCAAAGGGACACCUGGUCAAUUAUGAUGUUCAAGUAAAGAUGAGAAAGCAUUACUCAACCUAUCAACAAGGAAUAGGUGACCCGUCGAUAAUUUCCUUUUGAAUUCCCAUGUAGCUGGUAUAAUUGGUUUCUGGAUUGUUAUGGCAUCAAAGACUUGAACAUAAAGUGAUCUUUGGGUUACAAAGAUGGUACUAUUUGGUCUUGCUUUUGCUGUUAUCCACUACAUUUAAUAAUCACUCCUGCUGACUUGGUAUUUUAAAAUUGUUUAUUUCUUUGUAAUCCGCCCC
RNAcentral lists this long non-coding RNA (437 nucleotides) under Nicotiana benthamiana. RNAcentral describes it as "long non-coding RNA (NBEN_LNC028388)". The record is from RNAcentral. Lineage: Eukaryota; Viridiplantae; Streptophyta; Magnoliopsida; Solanales; Solanaceae.